RNAcentral lists this ribosomal RNA (164 nucleotides) under uncultured bacterium. RNAcentral describes it as "partial 16S rRNA". It matches the Rfam family "Bacterial small subunit ribosomal RNA", at positions 355 to 511 of the family's 1533-position model. The record is from RNAcentral.
UAGGGAAUCUUCCACAAUGGACGCAAGUCUGAUGGAGCAACGCCGCGUGAGUGAAGAAGGUUUUCGGAUCGUAAAGCUCCGUUGUUGGUGAAGAAGGAUAGAGGCAGUAACUGGUCUUUAUUUGACGGUAAUCAACCAGAAAGUCACGGCUAACUACGUGCCAC